GAAAUGCGAUAAGUAAUGUGAAUUGCAGAAUUCAGUGAAUCAUCGAAUCUUUGAACGCACAUUGCGCCCGCCAGUAUUCUGGCGGGCAUGCCUGUCCGAGCGUCAUUUCAACCAUCAAGCCCCCGGGCUUGUGUUGGGGACCUGCGGCUGCCCGCAGGCCCUGAAAACCAGUGGCGGGCUCGCUGUCACACCGAGCGUAGUAGCAAUUACCUCGCUCAGGGCGUGCUGCGGGUUCCGGCCGUUAAACAGCCUUACAAAACCCAAGGUUGACCUCGGAUCAGGUAGGAAGACCCGCUGAACUUAAGC
RNAcentral lists this unclassified non-coding RNA (306 nucleotides) under plant metagenome. Its description in RNAcentral is "partial contains 5.8S ribosomal RNA, internal transcribed spacer 2, and large subunit ribosomal RNA". The stretch from base 1 to 105 matches the Rfam family "5.8S ribosomal RNA", at positions 50 to 154 of the family's 154-position model. The record is from RNAcentral.